RNAcentral lists this long non-coding RNA (321 nucleotides) under Elaeis guineensis (African oil palm). Its description in RNAcentral is "long non-coding RNA (EGUI_LNC068654)". The record is from RNAcentral. Lineage: Eukaryota; Viridiplantae; Streptophyta; Magnoliopsida; Arecales; Arecaceae.
CCCAAGAAGCCUCGCUGCUACAAGGCACUCAUCUUCAAGUUUUACAUGAUGGACAACAUUAGUGAAGGCCUUGAUGCUUUCAUUAUAGGUUAGAUUAACCUUCAUAUGCUCCCAAUUAUCAAGAAGAGAAUGGAUCAUAGCUUGCACUUGCUGCUCAUUGGAGAGAAAAUGGCCAGCUAAUUUUAACUCAGUAAUCAUGUUUGACAUCUCCCGUAGGUGUUGCUGAAUUGUAUGAUUGGGGUGCUUCUUGUAAGUGUCAAACUUGAUUAUCAGCUGUCUCAGUUUGGUCACCAAUGUACAUCCAAAUUUUUUCUUCAAAGC